RNAcentral lists this ribosomal RNA (1259 nucleotides) under Salmonella enterica subsp. enterica serovar Typhimurium. RNAcentral's name for it is "partial 23S ribosomal RNA". It matches the Rfam family "Bacterial large subunit ribosomal RNA", at positions 1079 to 2236 of the family's 2925-position model. The record is from RNAcentral. Lineage: Bacteria; Pseudomonadati; Pseudomonadota; Gammaproteobacteria; Enterobacterales; Enterobacteriaceae.
GAAGGCCCAGACAGCCAGGAUGUUGGCUUAGAAGCAGCCAUCAUUUAAAGAAAGCGUAAUAGCUCACUGGUCGAGUCGGCCUGCGCGGAAGAUGUAACGGGGCUAAACCAUGCACCGAAGCUGCGGCAGCGAACGUAUCACCCAAGACAACUUUACGGAGUUGACGAUUGACGGAGCGAAGCGACGUCAAAGCGUUCAUUAAAGUCGAGUUGGCUUAGGGAUACGUUCGUUGGGUAGGGGAGCGUUCUGUAAGCCUGUGAAGGUGUGUCGUGAGGCAUGCUGGAGGUAUCAGAAGUGCGAAUGCUGACAUAAGUAACGAUAAAGCGGGUGAAAAGCCCGCUCGCCGGAAGACCAAGGGUUCCUGUCCAACGUUAAUCGGGGCAGGGUGAGUCGACCCCUAAGGCGAGGCCGAAAGGCGUAGUCGAUGGGAAACGGGUUAAUAUUCCCGUACUUGGUGUUACUGCGAAGGGGGGACGGAGAAGGCUAUGUUGGCCGGGCGACGGUUGUCCCGGUUUAAGCGUGUAGGUGUGUGUUCCAGGUAAAUCCGGUUCACUUUAACACUGAGGCGUGACGACGAGGCACUACGGUGCUGAAGCAACAAAUGCCCUGCUUCCAGGAAAAGCCUCUAAGCAUCAGGUAACAUCAAAUCGUACCCCAAACCGACACAGGUGGUCAGGUAGAGAAUACCAAGGCGCUUGAGAGAACUCGGGUGAAGGAACUAGGCAAAAUGGUGCCGUAACUUCGGGAGAAGGCACGCUGACACGUAGGUGAAGUGAUUUACUCAUGGAGCUGAAGUCAGUCGAAGAUACCAGCUGGCUGCAACUGUUUAUUAAAAACACAGCACUGUGCAAACACGAAAGUGGACGUAUACGGUGUGACGCCUGCCCGGUGCCGGAAGGUUAAUUGAUGGGGUCAGCGCAAGCGAAGCUCCUGAUCGAAGCCCCGGUAAACGGCGGCCGUAACUAUAACGGUCCUAAGGUAGCGAAAUUCCUUGUCGGGUAAGUUCCGACCUGCACGAAUGGCGUAAUGAUGGCCAGGCUGUCUCCACCCGAGACUCAGUGAAAUUGAACUCGCUGUGAAGAUGCAGUGUACCCGCGGCAAGACGGAAAGACCCCGUGAACCUUUACUAUAGCUUGACACUGAACAUUGAGCCUUGAUGUGUAGGAUAGGUGGGAGGCUUUGAAGUGUGGACGCCAGUCUGCAUGGAGCCGACCUUGAAAUACCACCCUUUAAUGUUUGAUGUUCUAACGUGGACCCGU